This 480-nucleotide long non-coding RNA is filed under the name Rattus norvegicus (Norway rat). RNAcentral's name for it is "long non-coding RNA NONRATT028569". The record is from RNAcentral. Lineage: Eukaryota; Metazoa; Chordata; Mammalia; Rodentia; Muridae.
GUGAGGAUGCACGUUCUGAAAUCCUAAACCAUGAGUCUAGCGCUGAAUGACCUGCUCAUCUGCUGCCGGCAGUUAGAACAUGACAGGGCUACAGAACGAAGGAAAGAAGUGGAUAAAUUUAAGCGCCUGAUUCAGGAUCCUGAAACAGUUCAACAUUUGGAUAGGCAUUCUGACUCCAAACAAGGGAAAUAUCUGAAUUGGGAUGCUGUUUUCAGGUUUUUGCAGAAGUACAUUCAAAAGGAAACAGAAAGUCUUAGAACAGCAAAAUCAAAUGUCUCAGCCUCUACACAAACCUCCAGACAGAAGAAGAUGCAAGAGAUUAGCAGUCUGGUCAGAUUCUUCAUCAAAUGUGCAAAUAAAAGUUGCCUGGUCCAGCCUCGACAUGAUGGGUUUUGUUUUAUACCUUAUUUUGUCAUGUUUGAUUGUUGUCUCUUAGAAGCCCGUUCUUUUCUAAUGAGAGACAGGAAGUGAAUCUGGAGA